RNAcentral lists this ribosomal RNA (925 nucleotides) under Salmonella enterica subsp. enterica serovar Montevideo. Its description in RNAcentral is "partial 23S ribosomal RNA". It matches the Rfam family "Bacterial large subunit ribosomal RNA", at positions 394 to 1316 of the family's 2925-position model. Lineage: Bacteria; Pseudomonadati; Pseudomonadota; Gammaproteobacteria; Enterobacterales; Enterobacteriaceae. The record is from RNAcentral.
GUGCUGUGAGCUCGAUGAGUAGGGCGGGACACGUGGUAUCCUGUCUGAAUAUGGGGGGACCAUCCUCCAAGGCUAAAUACUCCUGACUGACCGAUAGUGAACCAGUACCGUGAGGGAAAGGCGAAAAGAACCCCGGCGAGGGGAGUGAAAAAGAACCUGAAACCGUGUACGUACAAGCAGUGGGAGCACAGGUUUACCUGUGUGACUGCGUACCUUUUGUAUAAUGGGUCAGCGACUUAUAUUCUGUAGCAAGGUUAACCGAAUAGGGGAGCCGGAGGGAAACCGAGUCUUAAUUGGGCGUUAAGUUGCAGGGUAUAGACCCGAAACCCGGUGAUCUAGCCAUGGGCAGGUUGAAGGUUGGGUAACACUAACUGGAGGACCGAACCGACUAAUGUUGAAAAAUUAGCGGAUGACCUGUGGCUGGGGGUGAAAGGCCAAUCAAACCGGGAGAUAGCUGGUUCUCCCCGAAAGCUAUUUAGGUAGCGCCUCGUGAAUUCAUCUCCGGGGGUAGAGCACUGUUUCGGCUAGGGGGCCAUCCCGGCUUACCAACCCGAUGCAAACUGCGAAUACCGGAGAAUGUUAUCACGGGAGACACACGGCGGGUGCUAACGUCCGUCGUGAAGAGGGAAACAACCCAGACCGCCAGCUAAGGUCCCAAAGUCAUGGUUAAGUGGGAAACGAUGUGGGAAGGCCCAGACAGCCAGGAUGUUGGCUUAGAAGCAGCCAUCAUUUAAAGAAAGCGUAAUAGCUCACUGGUCGAGUCGGCCUGCGCGGAAGAUGUAACGGGGCUAAACCAUGCACCGAAGCUGCGGCAGCGACGCUGAUGCGUUGUUGGGUAGGGGAGCGUUCUGUAAGCCUGCGAAGGUGGCCUGUGAGGGUUGCUGGAGGUAUCAGAAGUGCGAAUGCUGACAUAAGUAACGAUAAA